UAGCAGCACAGAAAUAUUGGCAUGGGGAAGUGAGUCUGCCAAUAUUGGCUGUGCUGCUCCA
This 61-nucleotide microRNA precursor is filed under the name Mus musculus (house mouse). Its description in RNAcentral is "Mmu-Mir-15-P2d_pre stem-loop". It matches the Rfam family "mir-16 microRNA precursor family", at positions 10 to 75 of the family's 82-position model. Rfam says of the family: The hairpin precursors (represented here) are predicted based on base pairing and cross-species conservation -- their extents are not known. In this case the mature sequence is excised from the 5' arm of the hairpin. Lineage: Eukaryota; Metazoa; Chordata; Mammalia; Rodentia; Muridae. The record is from RNAcentral.